Triticum dicoccoides is the source of this 506-nucleotide long non-coding RNA. RefSeq lists it as uncharacterized. NCBI's taxonomy places the organism in Eukaryota, Viridiplantae, Streptophyta, Magnoliopsida, Poales, Poaceae. The record is from RefSeq and is a predicted model, not a curated record. The transcript has 4 exons.
CCUCCGCCAAGAAGGCCUCCUCCUCCUCAAGCUUUCUCCCCCGAGCAGGGCCACCUCCUCCACGAGCAUCCUUCCCUAAGCACUAAGUUGGGUCGCCUCUGUUUCCCUCACCCGAGCAGCGGGCCUUCCUGUACGGCCCCUCUCCCGAGAAGCUCCACCUCCUCUACAUCCUCCCCCAGGUGCAGCGCCGCCUCCUUGCUCACCGAGAGCACUUGGCCGCUGAGAGUGACUUAUAAGUUCAUGGCAAAAGCAGCAACACGAGUACGCAACCACAAGUAAGCUGAGGAGUUACCUCUGAGUUGAUAUACAUUUUACUGUCUCGAGAUUCUUUUGGCAUCCCUGAACAGUUUCCGCUGAUCCAAAUUAUCACCCCUCAUGUUAUGGGCCUCAAAGAGCAGCUGAAAGAGUAAUUUAAGGUGCAAGUGGAUAAGUCUAGCAAAUGCAGUAAUGUGACCACAAGCAAGUUGAGGAGGUAAUAUGCAUCUUCAACUUUGAUUUUUUGCUGU